RNAcentral lists this ribosomal RNA (475 nucleotides) under uncultured Allobrachymonas sp. RNAcentral describes it as "bacterial SSU rRNA". It matches the Rfam family "Bacterial small subunit ribosomal RNA", at positions 900 to 1382 of the family's 1533-position model. Lineage: Bacteria; Pseudomonadati; Pseudomonadota; Betaproteobacteria; Burkholderiales; Comamonadaceae. The record is from RNAcentral.
CUCAAAUGAAUUGACGGGACCGCACAAGCGGUGGAUGAUGUGGUUUAAUCCGAUGCAACGCGAAAACCUUACCCACCUUUGACAUGGCAGGAAUCCUAAAGAGAUUUGGGAGUGCUCGAAAGAGAACCUGCACACAGGUGCUGCAUGGCUGUCGUCAGCUCGUGUCGUGAGAUGUUGGGUUAAGUCCCGCAACGAGCGCAACCCUUGCCAUUAGUUGCUACGAAAGGGCACUCUAAUGGGACUGCCGGUGACAAACCGGAGGAAGGUGGGGAUGACGUCAAGUCCUCAUGGCCCUUAUAGGUGGGGCUACACACGUCAUACAAUGGCCGGUACAGAGGGUAGCCAACCCGCGAGGGGGAGCCAAUCCCACAAAGCCGGUCGUAGUCCGGAUCGCAGUCUGCAACUCGACUGCGUGAAGUCGGAAUCGCUAGUAAUCGCGGAUCAGCAUGUCGCGGUGAAUACGUUCCCGGGUCUU